Molecule: ribosomal RNA, 492 nt
Filed under: uncultured bacterium
Lineage: Bacteria
Description: partial 16S ribosomal RNA
Rfam family: Bacterial small subunit ribosomal RNA
Source: RNAcentral
AGUGAACGCUGGCGGUAGGCCUAACACAUGCAAGUCGAACGGCAGCACAGUAAGAGCUUGCUCCUACGGGUGGCGAGUGGCGGGCGGGUGAGGAAUACAUCGGAAUCUACUUUUUCGUGGGGGAUAACGUAGGGCAACUUACGCUAAUACCGCAUACGACCUACGGGUGAAAGCAGUAGAUCUUCGCACCUUGCGCGACUGAAUGAGCCGAUGUCGGAUUAGCUAGUUGGCGGGGUAAAGGCCCACCAAGGCAACGAUCCGUAGCUGAUCUGAGAGGAUGAUCGGCCACACUGGAACUGAGACACGGUCCAGACUCCUACGGGAGGCAGCAGUAGGGAAUCUUGCGCAAUGGGCGAAAGCCUGAUGCAGCCACGCCGCGUGGGUGAAGAAGGUCUUCGGGUCGUAAAGCCCUUUUAUUAGGAAAGAACAGCAGCAGAUGAAUCCCUCGCUGUUCUGACGGUACCUAAAGAGAAAGCCCCGGCUAACUUCGUG